CAGCAUGUGGCUCAGUUGGUAGAGCACUUGCCUGGCAUGCAUGAAACCCUGGGUUCAACCCCCAGCAUGCCAA
RNAcentral lists this transfer RNA (73 nucleotides) under Neotoma lepida (desert woodrat). It matches the Rfam family "tRNA". From Rfam's summary of the family: Transfer RNA (tRNA) molecules are approximately 80 nucleotides in length. Their secondary structure includes four short double-helical elements and three loops (D, anti-codon, and T loops). The record is from Rfam by way of RNAcentral. Lineage: Eukaryota; Metazoa; Chordata; Mammalia; Rodentia; Cricetidae.